CUGGGGAACUGAGGGGCCCCUGAACCUGCCACCCUAACAGAUAUUGCUAAAUAAAACAAUAAAAUGAAAGAAUGCACUCUGGGUCCCACCUUGGGAGACAUGACUGAUUUAACUUGGAGGAGAGGGAAAGGGGAUAAGAAAUGUUUUUCUUUUUGUUUUUGUGGUUUUUUGCUUUUUUGCAGUUGGCAGAGGUGAAGGGAUGCAACAACCCAUUUCUUGCAAGUGAUCUGAUGGAUGUAUCACGUGUCAACAAAGAACAAAGAAAUACUUCCCCUCCUGUUCUUGAAUGCAAUGCCCCUUUUCAAGCAUUUCGGCUCUGCUAGUAUUUCAAAUUUAAAUCCAAGGUCAUUUCUCUGGGCAGGAGGUCACUCUUAUGUUUCUAGAACAGAAAAGAAAAAAGUACAAAAGCCCCGAAAAGCCCUGCACACAAAGACUCUGUAUUCUUCCCUUGGUAUUGAAAACACCUUGUUAACCCCAUGCUCCUCCCUCUGACCUAUAGGGAUUGCAUUUUCAUGGAAAUCUUGGUGAGUGGGAAAGAGUUGCUAGUUUAAGGCAGAAGACUUUCUAACAUAAGUCUGUUCUUUUUGGAAAAAUAAUGCAAGGUUGCUGUGGAAAAUCAGGACACCUGUAAAGAAGGGAGAUCAAAUAACCCAGAGAACUAUAACAUUGUAUUUUCUUUUGGUGUCUUUUUAAAAGCUUUGGGGUGAGCAUGUGUAUGGAUGUGCUUACCAACUUUUAACCAGUGGAAUGAUGCAAGAUUGUUUGGUGGCCUUUAUUUUUUCAACUGAAAACAAAUAAACAAACAAAACUAUUCACUCUUCUGGAUGUGGGUUUCCCUAGAACUUUUCAGCAGUCCUCCUGUCCCCAUGUUUAGGAUGGCAUGACUGAGAGGGAGAAAGGAAAUGGCCCCACCUUGGGCACUAACUGCUAUGUUGGGUGGCAAUAUGGAGAGAUGACUGGACAGCAGUUCAAGGGGUCUUAGAACACUGAUCUUUUAGCCCAGAGUUGAGAUGUUAUCUCCUCUAGCUUCCCUCUUCCUCACCUUACAAACGCAUCUCCAGUUCAUCUUCAUCUGAACAGUUUAUUACCUCCUCUAUCUCUUCUAUCAAACCUUUGGACUCCAGGGUUCUUACAGGAAAUAUGCCUCUUGUAGCCAUUAGGCCAAAAUUUGGCUCAGAAAUCACCUCAUGAUGCCCCUCCUCUUAGUGUUAAGGAGGAAAAGGAUGGUUUAAGAGCAAGAACCCAUAUUUGGCAGGAGUUUGGGGUAGAAAAUCAAUGCUACUCAUUGACAAAGAGCAGGAAGGAGACUCAAGACAAUGUUCAGGACUUCUCUUGGGAUCAUUUGUCUCCUACUGGGAUUAAGUAGGCUUUCUGAAGGUUAAAAAGUACCACACUUCUCCAGAAUGACGCUGACCCAGGAAUUUAAAUUUAAAUUCCUAAGGAACUGCUCAGUGUGGGUGGUGCCCUCUUUCCUGCUAAUUGCCUUAUUUAUGAUUGAUAUUUGUUAUGAGAAACUCUUGACACACCCUCUCCAAAUGUUUGAGCUUUAUCAUUCUGGAAAAAUGUGUCUAAAAUGUGUGAUGUGUAUUAAUUAUGUAUCUACCACUUCCUUAUGUAUUAUCUUGGCAAGGUUUGGGGUAGAAAAGCCAGUUCUAUUGGGUUAGCUUGAUGUAGAAGGCCAAGCCAUCCAAUGCAGAUUAUCCUGGACAUGAAGUUAGAAACAUGGUUGUCUUUAGGGAGUACCAAUCUGGAAAAGGGCCCAGAUGGCUCCCCUCAUGGUACCAGCCAAUAAUGGAGGUGGAGAGAGAGGAGGACUUAUUGAAUGAGAGUGUGGUUUAUUGAGUUGGUAGUAAAUAAGAUCCAAAGCCUUCAUAUACCAGACUCAUUUCUAGAAGAAAACUUGCCCUUCAUCCUAUUGGAGGUUAUGAGGUGACUUGAUACCAAAACCAUGAGAAUUUCAAGUUGAAUAAAAUAUAGUUUAUUCAUUCAAAAAACAUUUGCCAAGUGCCUUCUGUGUACUAGCAUGUAGCUAUAGAGAUGAACAGUGAAUUACUUCUUUCCUCAAAGAGCUUCCAAUCUAGUGCUAAAGUAAUAAAAAUUCCAUGAAGCAGGUUGAAAUUAGCACAAUGUUAGAAAUACACAUAAAGUGCUCUUAUAUGGGAAAUAAAAUUAUACAGCUCUGAUGUCUGGCACAUAAAAGACUCCAUAAUAAUUGAAUAAAUGAAUGCAUCAGGGAAGUAUUUUUAAGGGAAAUAUUACAUUUGAACUGAUCACUGAGGACGGGUAGAAUUUUGUUGGGAGCUCACUAUAUAAUUUGUGCAAAGACCCAGAUGUGAAAGUGUUUGAAUGGUUCAAAAAGUGCUAAUAAAUCAUUGGGCUUGGUCUGGGAACACAGCGAAAGGUAGUUGGAGAAGCACAUACCAGGAAGGAUCUUGAAUACUAUGUAAAGAGUUUCAAUGUUAUUCUCCAGGUAAUGGGCAACUAAGAGUCUCUGAAGAGGAAUGCUACAUGAUUUGACUGUUUUUAGGAAUAUCAUUCUGAGGGUAUCUCAGGAAAAACUUCAAAGUUGAGACUGGCAAUAUUCAACUCUGAUGGUUUGUAUUCACAUCUGUUAUUGAUUAUUGAGUCUCAAGUGAAACUUGAAAGCAGUCAGGUUUGGUUGUCAUCUUCAUUUCACCUAGAAUAGACUAUACCUGGAGAGGUUUGCCCAGGGUGGCAUGCUGCAUGACACAGAACCAAUACAAGAAGCCCGGUUUCUUCAUUCAUCCAGCCUAAUGCUGUCAGAGCUUUCCUUAAAAAAAAAAAAAAAAAAAAAAAAA
This 2819-nucleotide long non-coding RNA is filed under the name Sus scrofa (pig). Its description in RNAcentral is "lncRNA (ENSSSCG00050058469.1)". The record is from RNAcentral. Lineage: Eukaryota; Metazoa; Chordata; Mammalia; Artiodactyla; Suidae.